This 76-nucleotide transfer RNA is filed under the name Paracoccaceae bacterium. RNAcentral describes it as "tRNA-Arg". It matches the Rfam family "tRNA". Rfam says of the family: Transfer RNA (tRNA) molecules are approximately 80 nucleotides in length. Their secondary structure includes four short double-helical elements and three loops (D, anti-codon, and T loops). The record is from RNAcentral. RNAcentral also lists the same sequence under 5 other names. Lineage: Bacteria; Pseudomonadati; Pseudomonadota; Alphaproteobacteria; Rhodobacterales; Paracoccaceae.
GGCCUCGUAGCUCAGGGGAUAGAGCGGCCGCCUCCUAAGCGGCAGGUCGUAGGUUCGAAUCCUACCGGGGUCACCA